AGUGAACGCUGGCGGUAGGCCUAACACAUGCAAGUCGAACGGCAGCACAGUAAGAGCUUGCUCUUACGGGUGGCGAGUGGCGGACGGGGGAGGAAUACAUCGGAAUCUACUUUUUCGUGGGGGAUAACGUAGGGAAACUUACGCUAAUACCGCAUACGACCUACGGGUGAAAGCAGGGGAUCUUCGGACCUUGCGCGAUUGAAUGAGCCGAUGUCGGAUUAGCUAGUUGGCGGGGUAAAGGCCCACCAAGGCGACGAUCCGUAGCUGGUCUGAGAGGAUGAUCAGCCACACUGGAACUGAGACAUGGUCCAGACUCCUACGGGAGGCAGCAGUGGGGAAUAUUGGACAAUGGGCGCAAGCCUGAUCCAGCCAUACCGCGUGGGUCAAGAAGGCCUUCGGGUUGUAAAGCCCUUUUGUUGGGGAAGAAAAGCAGCAGGUUAAUACCCCGCUGUUCUGACGGUACCCACAGGAUAAGCACCGGCUAACUUCGUG
RNAcentral lists this ribosomal RNA (492 nucleotides) under uncultured bacterium. Its description in RNAcentral is "partial 16S ribosomal RNA". It matches the Rfam family "Bacterial small subunit ribosomal RNA", at positions 29 to 507 of the family's 1533-position model. The record is from RNAcentral.